RNAcentral lists this ribosomal RNA (500 nucleotides) under uncultured bacterium. RNAcentral's name for it is "partial 16S ribosomal RNA". It matches the Rfam family "Bacterial small subunit ribosomal RNA", at positions 29 to 523 of the family's 1533-position model. The record is from RNAcentral.
AUUGAACGCUGGCGGCAUGCCUUACACAUGCAAGUCGAACGGCAGCACGGGAGCAAUCCUGGUGGCGAGUGGCGAACGGGUGAGUAAAGUAUCGGAACGUGCCCAGUCGUGGGGGAUAACGUAGCGAAAGUUACGCUAAUACCGCAUACGAUCUAUGGAUGAAAGCGGGGGAUCGCAAGACCUCGCGCGAUUGGAGCGGCCGAUAUCAGAUUAGGUAGGUGGUGGGGUAAAGGCUCACCAAGCCGACGAUCUGUAGCUGGUCUGAGAGGACGACCAGCCACACUGGGACUGAGACACGGCCCAGACUCCUACGGGAGGCAGCAGUGGGGAAUUCUGGACAAUGGGCGAAAGCCUGAUCCAGCCAUGCCGCGUGCAGGAUGAAGGCCUUCGGGUUGUAAACUGCUUUUGUACGGAACGAAAAGGUUUGGCCUAAUAAGCUGAGCUCAUGACGGUACCGUAAGAAUAAGCACCGGCUAACUACGUGCCAGCAGCCGCCGCGG